This 382-nucleotide ribosomal RNA is filed under the name uncultured Pelotomaculum sp. RNAcentral's name for it is "bacterial SSU rRNA". It matches the Rfam family "Bacterial small subunit ribosomal RNA", at positions 1001 to 1382 of the family's 1533-position model. Lineage: Bacteria; Bacillati; Bacillota; Clostridia; Eubacteriales; Desulfotomaculaceae. The record is from RNAcentral.
GAGAGAUCGGGCGUUCCCUCGGGGGACAGGGAGACGAGGUGGUGCAUGGUUGUCGUCAGCUCGUGUCGUGAGAUGUUGGGUUAAGUCCCGCAACGAGCGCAACCCCUACGUUUAGUUGCUAACGCGUGAAGGCGAGCACUCUAGACGAACUGCCGUUGACAAAACGGAGGAAGGUGGGAUGACGUCAAAUCAUCAUGCCCCUUAUGUUCUGGGCUACACACGUGCUACAAUGGCCGGUACAGACGGACGCAAAGCCGCGAGGUGGAGCAAAUCCUAAAAAGCCGGUCUCAGUUCGGAUUGCAGGCUGCAAUUCGCCUGCAUGAAGUCGGAAUCGCUAGUAAUCGCAGGUCAGCAUACUGCGGUGAAUACGUUCCCGGGCCUU